RNAcentral lists this long non-coding RNA (1206 nucleotides) under Coffea arabica (coffee). RNAcentral's name for it is "long non-coding RNA (CARA_LNC004439)". The record is from RNAcentral. Lineage: Eukaryota; Viridiplantae; Streptophyta; Magnoliopsida; Gentianales; Rubiaceae.
GAAGAAGGAGCUGUUUGGGGGUGAAGGUGUAAUAUAACUGUAAGAGAAAGGGCCGAAGCACGAAUAAAGCGGAGAUGGGAUGGCGGCGCCCCCACACCUUAUCAUCCAAAUAUCAUCCAAGUAUCUCCGGGCAGCUUCCGCCACACACGCCGUAACUCCUAUCACCCUACUGCUCCUCAGUCCUCAGUAUACCAUAGCUUGGCUUCCCCGAAUGGCCGUUCCCAUUUAUAACUACUACUGUUCCCCGCUCCUCGGCUGCCUGCCCUGUGCCUUCCCCUUCUCCUCCUUUCCACCGUAUCGUCAGCUACACCUUCUCUCACCCAAUUCUUUACACUCCUCUUCUUCUUCGCUUUACCAUUUAAAAAAUCAAAGUAUUACUAGCGCUACGAUUACGGUAUGAUGAGAGGAUCUCAUUUACUGAUGCUUGCUCAACUCUUUUCGGAAAAGAAAUCGACGGAAUUGGAAGAAGGAAGAAACAGCUACAGUUAAAAAAGAUUUCCGGCCCAAAUCGGGCAGAAAGCAACGGAAAGCGCAGAAAGGCAGCAAAAUAUAUUUUUAAAUUGCCCAUUCUACCCCUAAAAAACUGUUGAAUAAAAUAUUUAUUUACUUAUAUAUCCAAAAUCACCUGCUUUCUUUCAUAAACUCCCAAACAACAUUAAAAUAUCUUCUCUUCUUUUCUUAUCCUUUCUUCCCUCUCGUAACUUAACCUCUCUCUUCUUUUCUUUUCUAUCCUCAACUCACAAACUAGCUAUAAAUCUCAUUGGAUUAGGAAUUAAAAACCAGAAGAAGGAGCUGUUUGGGGGUGAAGGUGUAAUAUAACUGUAAGAGAAAGGGCCGAAGCACGAAUAAAGCGGAGAUGGGAUGGCGGCGCCCCCACACCUUAUCAUCCAAAUAUCAUCCAAGUAUCUCCGGGCAGCUUCCGCCACACACGCCGUAACUCCUAUCACCCUACUGCUCCUCAGUCCUCAGUAUACCAUAGCUUGGCUUCCCCGAAUGGCCGUUCCCAUUUAUAACUACUACUGUUCCCCGCUCCUCGGCUGCCUGCCCUGUGCCUUCCCCUUCUCCUCCUUUCCACCGUAUCGUCAGCUACACCUUCUCUCACCCAAUUCUUUACACUCCUCUUCUUCUUCGCUUUACCAUUUAAAAAAUCAAAGUAUUACUAGCGCUACGAUUACGGUAUGAUGAGAGGAUCUCAUUUACUGAUGC